Cricetulus griseus (Chinese hamster) is the source of this 109-nucleotide ribosomal RNA. Lineage: Eukaryota; Metazoa; Chordata; Mammalia; Rodentia; Cricetidae. The record is from Ensembl.
UUCUACAACCACAACACCCUAAAGGUGCCCGAUCUCAUCUGGUCUCUGAAGCUAAGCAUGGUUGGGCUUGGUUAGUACUUGAACGGGAGAUUACAAGGAAUUGUUUCAA